RNAcentral lists this non-coding RNA (25 nucleotides) under Mus musculus (house mouse). The record is from RNAcentral. Lineage: Eukaryota; Metazoa; Chordata; Mammalia; Rodentia; Muridae.
UGAGAGAGGCAGGGAAGAAGCUGGA